RNAcentral lists this ribosomal RNA (400 nucleotides) under Anopheles mattogrossensis. Its description in RNAcentral is "partial 28S ribosomal RNA". The record is from RNAcentral. Lineage: Eukaryota; Metazoa; Arthropoda; Insecta; Diptera; Culicidae.
CCCGUUGAACUCAAUUACACCGGGCGGCGAUAUUCACCUGUGCGUUGGCGCAAGCCGGCCGCGGGGCACUUAUCGAUCCGCAGCGUACGGACAUCGCGAUCCAUUACGGGCGCACGCUUGAAAGGUGCAACUUCCGACGCCGGUCCCUGGACUCGUGCGGUCGACCCUCUAGUAGUGGCGCUUAGUUCGGAAGGCCUGCGUCAUGAGCGGGGGAUUCGGUGGGGGCUUUGCCCUUGCCGGAGCUCGGCCGAGUCUUGGUGUACCGUCGGAAGCGUGAUGGGCUCACACGGAACGGCGGAGAUGGAAGCACAUGCCCUACCCGGCAUGCACCGCGGCGCCAGCUGCGGGCCUCCACUCACCCGAUCCGCGAUGUGUUAUCUAUAAUUGAGGUACCUACGGG